CUAAAAAUAGUCUGUGUUUCUGUCUGCUUAGUUGAGACCAUUGUCAAGAACAAUUGCACCCUUUUACAGUCUUUGAUUUGUAAUAUUUUGAUCAUUUGUUAUCUUGUAAUCUUUCCAUGAAAUCAAUAGAAGAACAUUGUUUCUAUCAUGGAUUUCAAUUAGUAGAAGCAUACAAACAUAAUCCUCUCGUCUCUCUUCAUACCCACUCGCGUCUGAAGAAUUCGCAACCAUGGAUGAACAGACGGAGAAGGCUUAUUUAAAGCAACUUAAGGUGUUCCAGUGGUGAGAUUUUUAGUCAUGUUUCAGCUUCGGCACCUUUAUUUAUGUUUUAGGUAAUCUAGGAGUUGGGUGCUUCAUUCUUUUAGCUUUUAGAUUCAGAGGACAAGACUGGCUUAAUUUUGCUGGUCCAAUUUUGUUAAGAUUGCUGCUGAUAAAGUGUGCGCGGUACAAAGUUCAUGGUACAUAACUCAUUUUAUUCAUCUUAUUAGCCCAGCUCGCCCGAAAUAAAAAGAAUACCUUCCAAAUUUGGGAAUCUCGACGAGGACCCAUUUUUUUGAGCAAAUGACUUUGUGAGGACAGAAAUCAUUACGUAAUCUGUUGUAUUGAUCUGAAUUUAUCAAUGGAGUGCAACAAAAGAAGAGGCUGUAAGAGCAAGGGUUAUGUGGGAGCACGAACAAUGGUCAAACAGGUUAUUACUAUUGCUGCUCAAACAAAUUGAAUGGUUUACUGAAACUUGUGCUUCCCUGGAGUUAUUUAAGGGCAAGAAUCAAGUUCCCUCUUUGCUAUUGGUGCAAUUGGCGUAUUCUAAUGCUUAGGAUGAAAUAACAUCUUUGCGAUUUGAAGUGGUGUUCCAACAAUAUUCCUCAUGCCAAAGAGCAGCUCGAACAUGUGUACGGAGAGCUGUGGUCAAGAACUACUGCAAAAGAUGAUGGAUGGAUGUGAUAAAUUGCCUAUAGAGAUAUGUCUGAAUGGUGUUGCAACUUCUGAGGUAUGGUUGGGGUUGUGGACCUCGUGGUAGCUCUUUUCGUGUUGCUUCUUCUCUUAUUGGUCAGGUAAUUCAGAGGUUUUGUCAAUUGAAUUCUGUUCUUUAUAUCAUUCUGUCAGGAUGUCUCACUUGUGUUGUAUGAACUCUUCUUGUCCAGUUGACACAAUUGUCCCUGCCUUUAACAUUUAAAAUCACUGUGGCACACCUUAAUUGACAUAAAUGCUCCUCCAUACAUAGAGAUAGACCUUUUAAAUGCUCCUCCACAUGCCCUACUUCUUGAGUUGUUAUGUAUAAAUUCACCUUCAGAAUUCUAGUUAAAAUAUACUACAUUGUUUAUGAUUCUGAUCGAUUGUUAAUAUGGAGACCUCUCUGGGACGCUGAUAGCUCUUCCAUCACACUAGUUAACUAUAUCUUGCCUGGGCUUUGAAGGGACCAUGUAACCAAUGCCUUUGCGCAGUGUUUUAAUUUCCAUAUUUAAACUUUUAAGUUUACUUGUAUUCUUCUUGUCUUGUAAAUUUUGAGCUCACUUUGGACAUUAGAUUCAGAAAUGGCCAAAAAGACCGAUUUUGUAGCGAUUUAGAAAUGGUCAAGUCGGUCACGUGUCAAAAUCAGUUGGAAGGGCUGACGUCAUGUCUAUAGGGUAAGAGGGGUAUAUAAAGAGAAGAGUUUGGACCAAAGAAACAUAAUCUCUCAACUUUUCUCAUCACUUGCCGUUCUCUUGUUCUAAAAAACCGCUGUUCAAAUUCUUUCUUUUGUGAAGCAAAAAUAAUCUUCGAUAGAUCCAAUCCUUUGAGUGUUAGGCCCAAUCCUUGGAGUGGAUUUCUUUUCUUUCGUCUUGUGAAGCAAAAAUAAUCUUUGGAUAGAUCCAGAUGAGUUGUUCAAGAGAUCUAUUGUUUCUAGAGACUAACGAUGACAAGUAUACAAAAAUCUAUAGGAGUUUCGUUGUCUUUCGCAGUGAAAACACACGAAGAGAAAUCAACGAAGAGAAAGGUAAUUUUGGUUCCGGAUCUUCUUAUAUCUGUAUACGGACUGGUUAAUGUUUCUGCCCCAGUUCUGGAUUUUGUUUGGUUCGCGCUCAUUCAAUUAUAUAUAUGUCUAUAAAUAGAAGAUGGAUGACAUUAGAAUCCAAGGGUUUCGACUUUUGAGGGUUCUUGCAAUUGAGGUAUUCAGUGUAAAAACCUCUGUUAAAACCUUCACUACAUCUCAAAUUCUACAUUCGCUUCAGAAAGUUGUAGGUGUGGCUGAGUUUUUGAAGAUUUCACACAUCUCUACAUUUCUGGAUCUCAUCUCUCUUCGCAAAAGUUGUAGGUGCAGCUGAGUUUUUGAAGAUCUCAGAUAACAGCGUCGCUACAUUUUCAGGGCCUUCUUUUUCUUCGCAACAGCUUUAUACUGUUUUGCAGCCAUGGAUUUGAUUAAUAAUUUGGAUAACAUUUUCCGAGAUCUAAAUGGUCCCCAAGACCUGUUAGAUAAUUUUGAUGCCAGAGUGAAGGAGUGUGGCCUCAAACUAGAUCAAGUAGAACACUUUGUUGAGAAAAGUCAGAAGAAGCCCAGUAACAAACUCAAGACUUUGAUGACUGAGGUUCUUGAAGUAUAUGCACAGUGUGCAACAGAUUAUAUGAUUCAAGUUAAGUUUGAUCAUGAUGAGCUUCAGGACUUCCAGGACAUGCUUCGUAAGGCCCCAAAAUAUGUGGGCAAAGUUGCUUACUUACCUGGCAAGCUCCUCACGAGGCUUUCAAAAAUUGUAGAUAUAUACAGUGAUGCUUUUGGUGGCUUUCGACGUUGGGUGGACUUAAGGGAAAGGGAAAAUCUUGCUGAAUGGUUAUGUUCAUUCUUCGUUUUUGCUUUUUCCUUUUGAAGUAUUUCUCCAGUGUUAGUUUAAGAACUCGUGUUUGCACUGUAUAGAACAAGAUUUGGUACCAGCUAUUAGACCUUUACUGUCACCUUGUCUUAUGCUUCUGGAAUGCUGGGAAGUAAACAUUCUAUCUUGCAGUAACUGGUGUACUGAGAUGCCAGAUAUUGGUAUGAAUAAAAGUUGGCUAGAACUAGGGAAAGUUGGAUCGAAAAUAUGUUAAGAUAAACAAUUAUUAUAUGUUGCUGUUAUAACUUCCUUUUGUGCACAAGGAGGACAUCUCCCAGUCUUGAAUUAUAAUUGUCUUUGACCUUAUUUUUA
Molecule: RNA transcript, 3155 nt
Organism: Papaver somniferum (opium poppy)
Lineage: Eukaryota; Viridiplantae; Streptophyta; Magnoliopsida; Ranunculales; Papaveraceae
Exons: 11
Source: RefSeq, a predicted model, not a curated record